UACGUAGGGUGCAAGCGUUAAUCGGAAUUACUGGGCGUAAAGCGUGCGCAGGCGGCUAUGCAAGACAGAUGUGAAAUCCCCGGGCUCAACCUGGGAACUGCAUUUGUGACUGCAUGGCUAGAGUGCGGCAGAGGGGGAUGGAAUUCCGCGUGUAGCAGUGAAAUGCGUAGAUAUGCGGAGGAACACCGAUGGCGAAGGCAAUCCCCUGAGCCUGCAACUGACGCUCAUGCACGAAAGCGUGGGGAGCAAACAGG
This 254-nucleotide ribosomal RNA is filed under the name uncultured bacterium. RNAcentral describes it as "partial 16S ribosomal RNA". It matches the Rfam family "Bacterial small subunit ribosomal RNA", at positions 524 to 776 of the family's 1533-position model. The record is from RNAcentral.